AUGACUGAACAAGCUUUCUCUGUGACUGGACCUAGGUUAUCAUUAGUUCAGAGACAUAGUAGAACACAAGGUCUUCUUUACCACAAAAAGAUCCUAUGUUAUAGAUUGAAAAAAGUAAGGAUUUUUCUUCUUAUAGGAACUAAGAUAAGUGUCAGCUCACUACUUGCUUUAUGGUUCUAUCCUUUUCCCUGUUCUGCUUUCAGGUGCUACAGCAUGCUUACUGGGUCUGACUGUUAUAUAUCACAUUUUUACCAGCUGCUAAACAUGCAACUGUGCUGGCUGUUAUUGGGUGACCUCCCUACCUCAAGCUCAUCUCUACACUGAACUGAAAUGUUCCCAUCAUCUCCAAACAGGGCAUUUGCUCUGGCCUCUUGACUAUCUCUGUGGCCUGUUCUUGCAACUAUGCUGGCUGCUGGAGAUGGGCUUUUUCCCUGACUGAACCUGUUGUAGAAGAAAAACUACAACUCAGUAAUGGGAUUUAUUCUCUUUGAGCUCCUGUGAGAAUGCAACUGUGCAAUUCCAUGUGUGGUUUAACUUCUCAGCUAUGCUGUUUGUCAAGCGAAGAGCCGGAUGCCUUUGGGUGAGAUGGUUAACGGAGCAUGGAGAGCUGUGGUGGAUUUUGUCUGAGAGGAGCUGGUGUGAGUGAGAAAAUACCAUCUGGGGGUCUUCAGGGGGGAGAUGAAGAAAACAUACCUGAUCUGAACUGCUGUGUCUGUAGGGUCUAAAGAACAGCACUGAGCUCUGGAGAAAUUCCAGCUGAAGGUGCACCCAUGACUCCAGCCUGAGCAACUUGUGACAGGGUCAGGAGGCAGGUGAGUCCUGCAGAGGCUUUGCUGCCAGGGAGAGCAGCUGUGUGACAGGGCUGCUAGUGCGAGUUCAGCUGGAAAUACACCCCGGGUCAUAAAAUGGCCACUCCUCGCCGGACGGGGCUGCUGCAGUGCUGCGUUACCAAGUUCUAAACACAGCUUUGUUUUUCCGGCUUUGCUCUCAAUCAGUAGUAAUCCUCGGUAACUACUCGUGUCGUCUUCUGUGAUCUAUUACGCGCUCUCCUGCGCCCUGCCGCCGCUCCAUUCCUUGUCGCAGCUCGACCCUCACAAGCGCUCCAGCCCAGCAGCAGACCUACGCCACGCACCCUCCUCACCGCUCUCCCUCCCGGGCCCGGCCGUAGCGCUCGGGGCGGAGCCCGGCUGAGAGGCAGAUUGGGGCGUGCCCCUUUCGGCAGCGCCUCUGCGGCGCGGGCGCUGCCCGGCAGGUGGCGCUGUAGCCGCCUGCGCCGCUCUCGGCUCCUCUCGGAGCUGCGCUGCGAGGAGCCCCCGCGUGUCCG
RNAcentral lists this long non-coding RNA (1324 nucleotides) under Phasianus colchicus (ring-necked pheasant). Its description in RNAcentral is "lncRNA (ENSPCLG00000002444.1)". The record is from RNAcentral. Lineage: Eukaryota; Metazoa; Chordata; Aves; Galliformes; Phasianidae.